RNAcentral lists this ribosomal RNA (202 nucleotides) under uncultured bacterium. RNAcentral describes it as "partial 16S ribosomal RNA". It matches the Rfam family "Bacterial small subunit ribosomal RNA", at positions 524 to 723 of the family's 1533-position model. The record is from RNAcentral.
UACGUAGGUGGCAAGCGUUGUCCGGAAUUAUUGGGCGUAAAGCGCGCGCAGGCGGUUCUUUUAAGUCUGAUGUGAAAGCCCACGGCUCAACCGUGGAGGGUCAUUGGAAACUGGAGAACUUGAGUACAGAAGAGGAAAGCGGAAUUCCACGUGUAGCGGUGAAAUGCGUAGAGAUGUGGAGGAACACACGGUGGCGAAGGCG